UGGCGGACGGGUGAGUAACGCGUGGAUAACCUGCCGUAUACAGGGGGAUAACACUUAGAAAUAGGUGCUAAUACCGCAUAAGCGCACGGUUCCGCAUGGAACAGUGUGAAAAACUCCGGUGGUAUACGAUGGAUCCGCGUCUGAUUAGCCAGUUGGCGGGGUAACGGCCCACCAAAGCGACGAUCAGUAGCCGGCCUGAGAGGGUGAACGGCCACAUUGGGACUGAGACACGGCCCAAACUCCUACGGGAGGCAGCAG
Molecule: ribosomal RNA, 258 nt
Filed under: uncultured bacterium
Lineage: Bacteria
Description: partial 16S ribosomal RNA
Rfam family: Bacterial small subunit ribosomal RNA
Source: RNAcentral